GCUUGCCCGGUUAGCUAGUGGCAGACGGCUGAGUAACACGUAAGUAAUUUGCCCUGAAGAGGGGGAUAAUCCAGAGAAAUCUGGCCUAAUACCCCGUACCUUUCUUUCCGGCCUGCCGGAUUGAAAGAAAGGCUCCGGCGCUUUGGGAGAAGCUUGCGGCUUAUCAGGUAGUUGGUGGGGUAAUGGCCUACCAAGCCGAAGACGAGUAACCGGUGUGAGAGCACGAUCGGUCAGAGGGGGACUGAGACACGGCCCCCACUCCUACGGGAGGCAGCAGCAGGGAAUCUUGCGCAAUGGGCGAAAGCCUGACGCAGCGACACCGCGUGGAGGAUGAAGGUCCUAGGAUUGUAAACUCCUUUUAUCAGGGAAGAGAAAGGACGGUACCUGAUGAAUAAGGUUCGGCUAACUACGUGCCAGCAGCCGCGGUAAUACGUAGGAACCGAGCGUUGUCCGAAUUUACUGGGCGUAAAGAGCGCGUAGGUGGUUUGUUAAGUCUCAUGUGUAAUCUCCCGGCUCAACUGGGAGGGGUCAUGGGAUACUGGCAGACUCGAGGAUAGCAGAGGAAAGCGGAAUUCCCGGAGUAGUGGUGAAAUGCGUAGAUACCGGGAGGAACACCAGAGGCGAAGGCGGCUUUCUGGGCUAUUCCUGACGCUGAGGCGCGAAAGCGUGGGGAGCGAACCGGAUUAGAUACCCGGGUAGUCCACGCCCUAAACGAUGGAUACUAGAUGUUGGGGGUAUAGACCCCCCCAGUGUCGAAGCUAACGCGAUAAGUAUCCCGCCUGGGGAGUACGGCCGCAAGGCUAAAACUCAAAGGAAUUGACGGGGACCCGCACAAGCAGCGGAGCGUGUGGUUUAAUUCGAUGCAAAGCGAAGAACCUUACCCAGGCUUGACAUGUUUCUGAAAGCCCCCGAAACGGGGCCCUCCUUCGGGACAGAUUCACAGAUGUUGCAUGGCUGUCGUCAGCUCGUGUCGUGAGAUGUUGGGUUAAGUCCCGCAACGAGCGCAACCCCUGUCGCUAGUUAUUAUGUCUAGCGAGACUGCCCCCACUGGGGAGAGGAAGGUGGGGACGAGGUCAAGUCGUCAUGGCUCUUACGCCUGGGGCUACACACACGCUACAAUGGCCGGAAACAAUGGGCUGCCACAGCGCGAGCUGGAGCGAAUCCUCAAAGCCGGUCUCAGUUGGAAUUGCAGGCUGCAACUCGCCUGCAUGAACGUGGAGUUGCUAGUAACCGUAGGUCAGCACACUACGGUGAAUACGUUCUCGGGUCUUGUACACACCGCCCGUCAAGUCAUGGAAGUCGGUAACACUUGAAGUCGCUGGGCCAACCCUUUUGGGAGGCAGGUGCCGAGAGUGGGACUGGUGACUGGGACUAAGUCGUAACAAGGUAGCUGUAGCGGAAGCUGCGGCUGGAUCACCUCCUU
This 1423-nucleotide ribosomal RNA is filed under the name uncultured bacterium. Its description in RNAcentral is "bacterial SSU rRNA". It matches the Rfam family "Bacterial small subunit ribosomal RNA". The record is from RNAcentral.